This 1013-nucleotide long non-coding RNA is filed under the name Homo sapiens (human). RNAcentral describes it as "HSALNT0163351". The record is from RNAcentral. Lineage: Eukaryota; Metazoa; Chordata; Mammalia; Primates; Hominidae.
AGUGAGUCAAAGCAACCAGAAUUUCCCUUCCCAAGGAAAGUGCAUUUUUAAAUGAUCAUUGUGGACCACUGUGAAGAUAAUGCAUUGUUGAGAAGACGGAAUUGAAGUUGGAAGCCACUUUUAGGCUAUUGUAAGAGAUGAUGAUGACUUGGACCAUAAAAGCGGCUUUGAAACAAAAAUACACGGGAAAUUAAAGAUGCAGUUUGAAAGGUGCAUCCACUGGAUUCAAUGACUGAUGGGAUGAGAAGGGUUUGGCUAAACUGUUAUGAGGACAAGCUAUUCCAGAGCAACCAUGUUGUAAGAUCAAAACAUGUGGCGACCUGAUCCCCAUUCUUAGUGGGCUGGAGGACUGGGCAACCAAAUUCUGGCUGGUAUGGAGUGCCUGAGCAGUAGUGCACAAAGAGGAGACACAGAAAAACAAAUACUCCAUGGUCUUCCUGAGGGCAUGUCGGUGAUGAAACUAUCACUACUGUUCAAGGUGCCAGAAGUUUGACUUACCAUCGCUUUUGAACAAUCAUCACUACAUGUCAGCGUGGGAAAAAGAAUAAAAUAACAUCUUAAUAUUAUUAUGAAAACAGUUUUGGCCUCAUGGACCCCUUGAAAACCUAUCAGGGAAUCAACAACAUAUUCUGCUUUUCUAGCUAAUGCAGAGAACAGAGGAGAGAUGAGGCAAAAGGGAAUAUUAGACAGAUUCAAAGCUUGAAAAGGACUUGAUCCACUAUGAGGCCAUUAAUGAAGGAAUGCAGGCUGCCUGUAACAGUUGAAAAUCACCCCAGCCAACACCCAGCAAGGAAAUGGAGACCAUAGUCCUCUAACUGUAUGGAACUGAAUUCUGCCAACAAAGUGAAUAAGAUGGGAAGUGAAGACCCUCCCAGAGCCUCCAGAAAGGAAGAGAGCCAUUCAGACACCUUGAUUUCAGCCUUCUGAAACUUGGAGCAGAGAGCCGGCUGUGUCAACCUGAACCUGGGUUUUUAACCUACAAAACUGAGAAAUAAUGAAUAGUGAUUUUUUUU